This 852-nucleotide unclassified non-coding RNA is filed under the name Hevea brasiliensis (rubber tree). The record is from RNAcentral. Lineage: Eukaryota; Viridiplantae; Streptophyta; Magnoliopsida; Malpighiales; Euphorbiaceae.
GAGUAACUUGGAAAGUAUAUGGCAUAACCAAUUUGCUCUAGGUUCCUUCUGUAAAUUAAAAUCAUUGAGUAUUCAUGAGUGUGAAAACUUAUACACUCUUUUUCCAUCACAUGACUUAAGAAGAUUCCAGAGAUUAGAACAGUUAAAUAUAUUGAGUUGUGAUUCACUAGAAGAAAUAUAUCAACUCCCAGAGUUCAAUGCUGAAGAAGCAAGUUCUGCAACAUCAUUUGAUUUAAGAUCUAUAGAUAUAUAUAAUCUAAUAAAAUUGAAGCAUAUAUGGAGUAAAGAUCCACAAGAAAUUUUCACCUUCAGAAAUCUGGAUUCGAUAACAGUUUUCAGAUGCAAGGUUUUGAAAAAUCACUUUCCUGCUUCUGUAGCACAAAGCCUUUUGCUACUUGAAAGGCUUGAAGUACACUCUUGUAGCGUGGUUGAGGAGAUUGUUGCAAAGGCAGGUGUAAAAGCAGCCCCUUCUUCUUGUUUCCAAAAUUGCUCUCCUUGAAUCUUGAAAGUCUAAAUGAAAUCAGAAGAUUUUAUCCGGGAAGACACAGUUCAGAAUUCCCGAAGUUAAGAGAUUUGGAGCUGCGUAAUUGUGGAAAUGGAAUGGAUUUUGGUUCAGAAUUGUUCAGUUUACAGGAAAAACAUGGCGAGGGACAACAUCACAUCACUAUUCAACGACCAUUACACUUGGAAAACAAGGUACAAUCCUCUCUUUUUUAAAUGAUGUUCGCUGAAGAUGUAGGUAGUUCCUUUAAAUAAUGAAAAAAACAUUAUAAUUACGCUAAAUAUAUGGGGAAUGUAUAGGCCAUAAUAAUGCAGUAGUAUUUUUCAAAGAUUUUUUUUUUGAAAAAAAUU